UAUUAUUUUUGAUGUUAAUUAUUUAACUUGAGUAGUAAUAGAUAUGGUCUUGAAACUUAAAGAAUUUGGCAGUAUUUUAUUCUGUUCAGAGGAACCUGUUCUUUUAUCGAUAAUCCUCGUUGGACCUUACUUAGUUUAUUGAUUUGUAUACCGCCGUUGUAUUGAGAAUCUUUUUAGUGUUUAAAUUUUCUAGUUUUUAUUUUAGUUUAUUUCAGGUCAAGGUGCAAUUUAUGAUUAAGUAGAAAUGGGUUACGUUUAUAUUUAUUUUUGGAUUAUUAAAUGGAAUUUUGAUAUGAAAUUGGAUUUGAAUGUAAUUGUUAUUUUAGAUUGUAUUGAUGAUUUAGUUUCUAGAAUGUGUACAUAUCGCCCGUCACUCUCGUUAUUUAUUCGAG
RNAcentral lists this ribosomal RNA (392 nucleotides) under Cryptocercus hirtus. Its description in RNAcentral is "partial 12S small subunit ribosomal RNA". The record is from RNAcentral. Lineage: Eukaryota; Metazoa; Arthropoda; Insecta; Blattodea; Cryptocercidae.